AGAGUUUGAUCCUGGCUCAGAAUGAACGUUGGCGGCGUGGAUUAGGCAUGCAAGUCGUACGGGCCGCAAGGCCAGUGGCGCAAGGGUGAGUAAGGCGACGGUAACCAACCCCAUGAAUGGGCAUAGCCGUGGGAAACUGCGGGUAAUUCCCAGCGAUGUCUGCGGAGGGCAUCUUCUGCAGACCAAAGCUCCGGCGUCGU
Molecule: ribosomal RNA, 200 nt
Filed under: uncultured bacterium
Lineage: Bacteria
Description: partial 16S ribosomal RNA
Rfam family: Bacterial small subunit ribosomal RNA
Source: RNAcentral